This 497-nucleotide ribosomal RNA is filed under the name uncultured bacterium. RNAcentral describes it as "partial 16S ribosomal RNA". It matches the Rfam family "Bacterial small subunit ribosomal RNA", at positions 28 to 507 of the family's 1533-position model. The record is from RNAcentral.
GAUGAACGCUGGCGGCGUGCCUAAUACAUGCCAGUCGAGCGAACAGAUGAGGAGCUUGCUCCUCUGACGUUAGCGGCGGACGGGUGAGUAAAACGUGGAUAACCUACCUAUAAGACUGGGAUAAAUUCGGGAAACCGGAGCUAAUACCGGAUAAAAUUUUGAAACGCAUGGGUCAAAAAUGAAAGAAGGUUUUUCUGUCACUUAUAGAUGGAUCCGCGCCGCAUUAGCUAGUUGGUAAGGUAACGGCUUACCAAGGCAACGAUGCGUAGCCGACCUGAGAGGGUGAUCGGCCACACUGGUACUGAGACACGGUCCAGACUCCUACGGGAGGCAGCAGUAGGGAAUCUUCCGCAAUGGGCGAAAGCCUGACGGAGCAACGCCGCGUGAGUGAUGAAGGUCUUCGGAUCGUAAAACUCUGUUAUUAGGGAAGAACAAAUGUGUAAGUAACUAUGCACGUCUUGACGGUACCUAAUCAGAAAGCCACGGCUAACUACGUG